Molecule: RNA transcript, 3162 nt
Organism: Camponotus floridanus (Florida carpenter ant)
Lineage: Eukaryota; Metazoa; Arthropoda; Insecta; Hymenoptera; Formicidae
Gene: tj
Gene name: circadian locomoter output cycles protein kaput
Exons: 5
Source: RefSeq, a predicted model, not a curated record
AUUGUCUUGCGCGAAGCGAAGACACGACCCGCAUUUACUCCCGGCAUUUACGGCUGGCCAGUCAUCACUCUGACGGCGUAUCUACUGCCGUCUGUCACGCGAUCGCUUUUUCUCCUUCAUCUUAAGCGCGCCUUUUUCUUCCUCCUCAUCUCUGUCUCUCUCUCUCUCUCUCUCUUUUUUUCUGUCUUUUUCUUUCUCUUCUCAUUAGUCUAUCGUGCUUUUGGUAAUUUCAUUCUAAGAACGCAAAAAUCUAAAAAAAAAGUAUAGUGUAUACGCGUGGGAUCGACGGAGGUGGAGAGGGAGGAGACGUUGUUCGAUCCACGAAUCGAUUUCGGGGGGUGGAGUCAACAGCGUUCGAUCUACGAUGUUUCGCUAAUUAGAAGAGUGCAUAUUUCUCGAUCUUGUCGAGCAGUACAAGAAAAAAAAAGCAUGAUCCACGAUUGAUCGCGAAGACACACUAGUCACGGAUAGAACUGCGAGACGAAAAGAUCGCUUUUUAGCGGGAAAAAGUGUUUAAGUGUUAGUGCGUUUAUGAAUGGAUAUCGAAAAAUAAUAUUGUGAUUAUUGUGAGAUCAACGCGUAGUGUUGGAAAGUGAAUUGAUAAAGCAGAAUAGAAACAUCGUCAAAAAACGAGUAAGGUCACUCCUUUCCGACUCGAAUUCUCUCUUCUUGCGAAGAGGUAUCUUUUUAAUUAAUACACAUCAACGACUUCGUAUAUAAUAUUGCUUCGUAUCUACUACAAUCUAUCUUGACUUUGCUUCAUUGUGGGAUUCCGGUAGAGUGAAUUAAUCUUUCACUCGACUUGCGAAAGGCAAGUUGUUACAACGCCAUUAUCUCCUUCCGAGAGGAGGACCCCUCGUCGAGUCAUUUAAUCUAUUGCCGUCCAAGCCUGCGCAACCCCGUUUGCAUGCUUCUUAGACAGAUAUCACAAAUAAAGGGAUUUUUUUUAUAAUCACGAAAAUCUGGCAUUCGAAGCAAAAUCAAAGGAUUAUGCGAGCAUAAUUAAUAAUAAAAUUUAAACGAACAAGAAGCUAAGAAGCUAAACACAUACAUUGAUAAAUCAGGAUUUCCCUCGGUGAAUUUAUUUUAGAGUAUCCGAAUCUCUCUUCAGUGAUAAAAUUCAGAGCAAUCUCAUCGAACUUGGGAUCUUGAGUUUGCGCCUCACGUGGCGUUUCCGAUCCGCACAUCGUGUCAUCCUUCUCUUCAGCGGAGUAUUCGAUAAAAAAAAAGUGGUCUCAACGCAACAAACGAUAGUCACGCGUUGCUCGGGUGGAGGCGGAAGUGGCGGCGGCGACGGUGGAGGCGGUGGCGGCGACGGCGACGGUGGUGGCAGCGGUGGCGGUGGCCAGGAGACGCUCGCGUAUGCGACCGCGUCUGACGCGGUAGAGGAAGUGGAAGUAGAGGUCGACGAGGUUAAGAUGGAAGCCGAGGACCAUCUAGCGAGAGAGUACGUGCAGGAGUUUGUUCUCGAUCAUCUGGAUCCCGCCGACGUCAAACGAGAAGUACGAAUGGGUUCGCCGACGGUAAUGGUUAACAGCAGCGUGGUGCAGCUUCCGGGACAGGUACAGUCGCAUCAGGGUCUGACUCUGGCGCCGCUGACGCCACCCGCGCACGAACUGGAGCAGCCUCAUCCGUUGUACGGUCAACCUCACAUUCAAAUGCAACACGGCGUCCUGGUGAAGGCGCCGCCGGUUGCUACGGCACAUCUCACCACGCUGUCGCAUCCGGGAACGCCGCCGGAUACGCCGCCCGUCUCGGCCUCGCCGCCGCCGCUGCAGCUGCAUCGCGGCGACCGGGAUCACCGGGAUGCGCGCGAUCCCCGCGAUCGCGGGGGUAUACUGCUGCAGCUGCAGCAGCCGCCGGCCACACUGGUCCAAGACGAGAUACAAGUGAGCACGGGUGGCAUGGGCUGGCUGACUCAGUCUUUGAGGCAGGAACCGCUAGACCUAAGACCUCACUGUCCUCAAGAGCAAACCCCGGAGCCCCAUCAUGAAUCCUGGUCGGCCGCGCCGGCACAUCAUCAUUUCCAAGAGUUGCAGCAUUUACAGCGUCCCACCAGGCACACAGGGGGAUACCUAGCGAUGUCGAAUCAUCUGGAGUAUUACAGCGGUUCGAGCGCAGGAGGAGGAAUGCUUCCUACGAGCGGAAGUGUGAUGCAGGGAAUGGAAGACAGUAUGCAGGGAAUACCGAUGCAACCGGGCAGACCGUUAAGUGUCUGUUCCGUGAGCUCCUGCGGUGCCAAUGGACCCAAUCCAGCCCAUCGUGUGAGCAAUGGCCUGUACUCCAAUUGCAGCAGCUCAAAUGCUCAGGAGGAACUCAUGGACGAUGAGCUCCUGAUGUCGCUUUCGGUGCGCGAGCUCAACAAACGUCUUCAUGGUUGUCCGCGAGAACAGGUUGUGCGAUUGAAGCAGAAGCGGCGGACACUGAAGAAUCGCGGUUACGCUCAAAAUUGUCGGAGUAAACGGUUGCAACAACGUCAGGACCUCGAGACAACUAAUAGGAAUUUGCAAAAUGAGCUUCAGCGUACAAAGAUCGAUGUGGCGCGACUUCAACAAGAACGCGAUCUUUACAAGCAAAGAUACGAGAUGUUAAGGGCGCGACAAAAUCACCAUCAUAAUCACAAUCAUAGCCAUCAUCAACAGCAGACAUUGCAGCAACAGCAGCAGCAGCAACAGCAGCAACAUCAAACUCAAAAUCAACCAUCGCAUCCGCAGCAGCAACAGCAGCAGCAUCAACCAGCACCCGCGAGUCCCGAAGUUUAUCUGUGACAUCGACAGCGCCGAGGAGGCGCUUGUUGGACUUGAAGUCAUUUGUUACGUCAAUGGAUUCUUCCAUUGGUAUCACUCAGAAGGCAUGCAGGACGUAAGGCGGUAGAACUUCAGCUUCCCUUUCAUCGAUUUCUUCUAUUCUUCGUCAUCGUGUCACUAUACAUCGAACCUUAUGGCCGUCUAUUGGCUGUGAGGGGAUGCGGCUAGUUCCUUCCUAGGCGUGUACUGACUGGUGAUUUAGUGAGAUCCGAUCAGUUGGACCAUAAAUAUCAGGUGUUUUUUUGCUCGCAUACAAACACACACACACAUACACAUACGCAUAUACUAUUUCUUCUUCGAAUAGAAUAAAGCGUCUGACCAGGGGGUAGUUAAGGGGACGGCAUUCGUCUUCUCG